AAAAAGAUAGCUCAGUCAGUAGAGCAUUAAGCUUUUAACCUAAGGGCCCAGGGUUCAAAUCCCUAUUUGGGCG
Dryococelus australis is the source of this 73-nucleotide non-coding RNA. The record is from the annotation of a GenBank genome assembly. Lineage: Eukaryota; Metazoa; Arthropoda; Insecta; Phasmatodea; Phasmatidae.